This 421-nucleotide ribosomal RNA is filed under the name uncultured bacterium. RNAcentral describes it as "bacterial SSU rRNA". It matches the Rfam family "Bacterial small subunit ribosomal RNA", at positions 362 to 773 of the family's 1533-position model. The record is from RNAcentral.
UAUUGCGCAAUGGACGAAAGUCUGACGCAGCGACGCCGCGUGUGGGAGGAAGCUCUUCGGGGUGUAAACCACUGUCAGAGGGGAAGAACGGCGUCUGGUCGAACAGACCAGGCGAUUGACGGUACCCUCAAAGGAAGCGCCGGCUAACUCCGUGCCAGCAGCCGCGGUACGACGGAGGGCGCAAGCGUUGUUCGGAAUUACUGGGCGUAAAGCGCGGGCAGGUGGUCUGUUAAGUCGUUUGUGAAAAUCCGGGGCUCAACCCCGUGAAAUGCGUACGAUACUGGCAGGCUGGAGAUCGGUAGAGGCUAGCGGAAUUCCUGGUGUAGCGGUGGAAUGCGUAGAGAUCAGGAAGAACACCCGUGGCGAAGGCGGCUAGCUGGGCCGAGUCUGACACUCAUCCGCGAAAGCGUGGGGAGCAAAC